UGGGGAAUUUUGGACAAUGGGCGAAAGCCUGAUCCAGCAAUGCCGCGUGCGUGAAGAAGGCCUUCGGGUUGUAAAGCACUUUUGUCCGGAAAGAAAUCCUUGGCUCUAAUACAGUCGGGGGAUGACGGUACCGGAAGAAUAAGCACCGGCUAACUACGUGCCAGCAGCCGCGGUAAUACGUAGGGUGCAAGCGUUAAUCGGAAUUACUGGGCGUAAAGCGUGCGCAGGCGGUUUGCUAAGACCGAUGUGAAAUCCCCGGGCUCAACCUGGGAACUGCAUUGGUGACUGGCAGGCUAGAGUAUGGCAGAGGGGGGUAGAAUUCCACGUGUAGCAGUGAAAAUGCGUAGAGAUGUGGAGGAAUACCGAUGGCGAAGGCAGCCCCCUGGGCCAAUACUGACGCUCAUGCACGAAAAGCGUGGGGAGCAAAACAGGAUUAGAUACCCUGGUAGUCCACGCCCUAAAACGAUGUCAACUAGUUGUUGGGGAUUCAUUUCCUUAGUAACGUAGCUAACGCGUGAAGUUGACCGCCUGGGGGAGUACGGUCGCAAGAUUAAAAACUCAAAU
RNAcentral lists this ribosomal RNA (564 nucleotides) under uncultured bacterium. RNAcentral's name for it is "partial 16S ribosomal RNA". It matches the Rfam family "Bacterial small subunit ribosomal RNA", at positions 355 to 906 of the family's 1533-position model. The record is from RNAcentral.